RNAcentral lists this long non-coding RNA (243 nucleotides) under Erythranthe guttata (spotted monkey flower). RNAcentral's name for it is "long non-coding RNA (EGUT_LNC001087)". Lineage: Eukaryota; Viridiplantae; Streptophyta; Magnoliopsida; Lamiales; Phrymaceae. The record is from RNAcentral.
AAUGUAUAAGUGUUACCAUCCCCGGUGCUUAACAUGUCGUUUCUGAUUAUUUGGUGCUUAAGUGUCCUCAUUAUUGUUAUAUUUCGAUUUAGGAACAAACGAAGGAGUCAAAUUCAAAAUGAAGUUAUUUCGAAUAGCUUAGACACCUCUUCGUAAGACAGGCAUAACUCUUUCGUCUGAACUCCAUAUGCGAAGUAUAAAUACAAUAUAGAAAGCCAGAAGAAGGCUCUGCAACUUGUAUGC